AGGGUUUUUAGGGUUUGUUAAGGUUUUCGAGGAUUUUUUUAGGGUUUUCUAGGGGUUUUUAGGAUUUUCUAGUUUUUUUAGGGAUUUUUGGGUUUUCUAUGGUUUUUUUAUGGUUUUUAAAUUUUUUAGGGUUUUUUAGAGUUUCCUAGGGUUUUUAGAGAUUUUUUAUUGUUUUCUAGAAUUUUUUAUGGUUUUUUAGGAUUUUUAACGGUUUUCUACGCUUUUUCUUAUUUUUUAGGGGUUUCUAGGGUUUUUAGGGUUUUUAGGAGUUUUUUGAGUUUUCUAGUGUUUUUUAGGGUUUUUACUGUUUUUUAGGGUUUUCUAGGAUUGUCUAGGGUUUUUACUGUUUUUUUAGGGUUUUUAUGGUUUUCUAGGGUUUUUUAGG
Arachis duranensis is the source of this 385-nucleotide long non-coding RNA. RefSeq lists it as uncharacterized. Lineage: Eukaryota; Viridiplantae; Streptophyta; Magnoliopsida; Fabales; Fabaceae. The transcript is spliced from 3 exons. The record is from RefSeq and is a predicted model, not a curated record.